This 66-nucleotide transfer RNA is filed under the name Moniezia benedeni. Its description in RNAcentral is "tRNA-His". The record is from RNAcentral. Lineage: Eukaryota; Metazoa; Platyhelminthes; Cestoda; Cyclophyllidea; Anoplocephalidae.
CUAUUUGUAGGUUAUGUAAACCGAUAGAUUGUGGUUCUGUAGAAUAUGUUUUGUCAUACUCAUAGU